CUUUGCCAGUUCUUCCGAGGCCGGCCCUACAAGCCGCGCCUUGCUAGUCCGCUGGGAUCCAGGCUGCCGGAGCAGCUCAGCCGACGGAGAUGGGCUGGGCUGGGCUGGGAACGGCGGCCCUGGGGACAGCGGCUGAGUGGGCGUCCAGGGUGCAACCACGUACCUGAAGGUUAAGAUUGAGAAACAGGUGGUGACGCCCCCACUUUCUUCCCACAUCCCACCAGGAAACAGAACGCAGAAUCUCCUGGUAUUUUGAGGUGGCGCGCGCAUCGCAGCAGCUGUGCCCUGAGCUCUGGGACCUCGGAUCACCAGGUCUGACAGGGCCCAGAAGGGAUUUCUGACAACGGAGGUGCUCGGCCUGCCUGGGAUUAGAGCUUCAACGAGGAGCUCCCAGACACAGGGGUGGAUCCAUACACAGGGGUGGCCAUCCCACCAGGAUGGAGCAGAAACGAAAAUGGAGAAGUAACCUCUGACACUACAGAAAUACAUAGGAUUGUUAAGAAAAUACUAUGAACAACU
This is a long non-coding RNA of Myotis brandtii (Brandt's bat), 519 nucleotides long. RefSeq lists it as uncharacterized. The record is from RefSeq and is a predicted model, not a curated record. Lineage: Eukaryota; Metazoa; Chordata; Mammalia; Chiroptera; Vespertilionidae. The transcript is spliced from 3 exons.